This 390-nucleotide ribosomal RNA is filed under the name uncultured bacterium. Its description in RNAcentral is "bacterial SSU rRNA". It matches the Rfam family "Bacterial small subunit ribosomal RNA", at positions 30 to 424 of the family's 1533-position model. The record is from RNAcentral.
AUUGAACGCUGGCGGCAUGCCUUACACAUGCAAGUCGAACGGCAGCACGGGAGCAAUCCUGGUGGCGAGUGGCGAACGGGUGAGUAAUAUAUCGGAACGUGCCCAGUCGUGGGGAUAACGUAGCGAAAGCUACGCUAAUACCGCAUACGAUCUAUGGAUGAAAGCGGGGGAUCGCAAGACCUCGCGCGAUUGGAGCGGCCGAUAUCAGAUUAGGUAGUUGGUGAGGUAAAGGCUCGCCAAGCCGACGAUCUGUAGCUGGUCUGAGAGGACGACCAGCCACACUGGGACUGAGACACGGCCCAGACUCCUACGGAGGCAGCAGUGGGGAAUUUUGGACAAUGGGCGCAAGCCUGAUCCAGCAAUGCCGCGUGCAGGAUGAAGGCCUCGGUU